UGAAAACCCAUUUUAUUGCCUCAGAACGUGCGAUUUCCAGAUCCAGAUCGAGAUCGAGCAUGGAGGCAAGUUCCAGAGAACGGGAUUGAGCACGAAUGCGAUUUCCAAACCAGGAUCGAGCACGACAUGGGCAAACUGAACAAAGUCAGGGAAGGUACCAUGGGAAAAAAUCAAAUUUAUGCCUUCCUUUCAACGGUCGAACGCUCCAACGCCUAACGCUCCAACGCCCAACGCUCCAAAUUAUCGAUUCCAGUAGAACACCGUUUUGGUGAAUUUUAGCGUUUUUGCGUUGCUGCAAAC
Molecule: long non-coding RNA, 300 nt
Filed under: Lotus japonicus
Lineage: Eukaryota; Viridiplantae; Streptophyta; Magnoliopsida; Fabales; Fabaceae
Description: long non-coding RNA (LJAP_LNC000502)
Source: RNAcentral